This 922-nucleotide ribosomal RNA is filed under the name Bacteroidetes bacterium enrichment culture clone L55B-81. RNAcentral's name for it is "bacterial SSU rRNA". It matches the Rfam family "Bacterial small subunit ribosomal RNA", at positions 8 to 916 of the family's 1533-position model. The record is from RNAcentral. Lineage: Bacteria; Pseudomonadati; Bacteroidota.
AGAGUUUGAUCAUGGCUCAGGAUGAACGCUAGCGGCAGGCUUAAUACAUGCAAGUUGAGGGGCAGCAUGAUAUACGCGAGUAUAUUGAUGGCGACCGGCGGACGGGUGAGUAAAAGGUAGGAGACCUACCUCAUACAGGGGGAUAGCAUAGAGAAAUCUGUGGUAAUACCCCAUGAGGUUAUAUGAAUAGAGGCAUAUAAUCAAAGUAUACGAGAGUAUGCGGUAUGAGAUGGGCCUACUGACCAUUGGCUAGUUGGUGAGGUAAGGGCUCACCAAGGCGAAGAUGGUUAGGGGUUUUGAGAGAGAGAUCCCCCACAUUGGAACUGAGAUACGGUCCAGACUCCUACGGGAGGCAGCAGUAGGGAAUAUUGGGCAAUGGGCGGAAGCCUGACCCAGCCAUGCCGCGUGAAGGAAGACGGCCUUAUGGGUUGUAAACUUCUUUACUAUACGAAUAGAGGUUAGUACGAGAUACUAAUAGGAAGGUAGUAUAGCAAAAAGCACCGGCUAACUCCGUGCCAGCAGCCGCGGUAAUACGGAGGGUGCAAGCGUUAUUCGGAAUUACUGGGUUUAAAGGGUGCGUAGGCGGUUAUAUAAGUUGUCAGUGAAAGGCUACGGCUCAACUGUAGUAGUGCUGGCGAUACUGUAUAGCUAAGAACAUGGGAGGGGUACCUGGAAUGUGUGGUGUAGCGGUGAAAUGCAUAGAUAUCACACAGAACACCGGAGGCGAAGGCGGGGUACUAGACCAUAGUUGACGCUGAGGCACGAAAGCGUGGGGAGCAAACAGGAUUAGAUACCCUGGUAGUCCACGCCCUAAACGAUGAUCACUAGAUAUUGGCGACAGACAGUCAGUGUCCAAGCGAAAGUGAUAAGUGAUCCACCUGGGGAAUACGGCCGCAAGGUUAAAACUUAAAUGAAUUGACGG